Molecule: ribosomal RNA, 254 nt
Filed under: uncultured bacterium
Lineage: Bacteria
Description: partial 16S ribosomal RNA
Rfam family: Bacterial small subunit ribosomal RNA
Source: RNAcentral
GACAGAGGUGCCGAGCGUUAGGCGGAAUCACUGGGCUUAAAGCGUGUGUAGGCGGAUCGUUAAGUGCCUUGUGAAAUCCCACGGCUCAACCGUGGAACUGCUUGGCAUACUGGCGAUCUUGAGCCACUUAGGGGCAACCGGAACAAACGGUGGAGCGGAUGAAAUGCGUAGAUAUCGUAAGGAAGACCAGUGGCGAAGGCGGGUCUCUGGACAGUUCCUGACGCUGAGGCACGAAGGUCAGGGGAGCAAACGGG